RNAcentral lists this unclassified non-coding RNA (212 nucleotides) under plant metagenome. RNAcentral describes it as "partial contains small subunit ribosomal RNA, internal transcribed spacer 1, and 5.8S ribosomal RNA". The record is from RNAcentral.
UUUCCGUAGGUGAACCUGCGGAAGGAUCAUUCAUAAUAAGUGUUUUAUGGCACUUUUUAAAUCCGUAUCCACCUUGUGUGCAAUGUCAGGGUUGAUUUUUCUCUCGAGAGGAUCAGCCCCAAACAUCAACUAUAUCUUAACUCUUUGUCUGAAAAAUAUUAUGAAUAAAACAAUUCAAAAUACAACUUUCAACAACGGAUCUCUUGGCUCUC